CGCUAGGAAGCUAAAUUAUUGGACAAAGCAUUGGCCUUUUAAGCCAAAGAGUGGUGCCUACCGAACACCUCUAGUGA
RNAcentral lists this transfer RNA (77 nucleotides) under Pethia gelius (golden barb). RNAcentral's name for it is "tRNA-Lys". It matches the Rfam family "tRNA". From Rfam's summary of the family: Transfer RNA (tRNA) molecules are approximately 80 nucleotides in length. Lineage: Eukaryota; Metazoa; Chordata; Actinopteri; Cypriniformes; Cyprinidae. The record is from RNAcentral.